RNAcentral lists this unclassified non-coding RNA (344 nucleotides) under Hevea brasiliensis (rubber tree). Lineage: Eukaryota; Viridiplantae; Streptophyta; Magnoliopsida; Malpighiales; Euphorbiaceae. The record is from RNAcentral.
UGUCAUUUCACUGUUGGCCUUUGGAAAUGACUUCAGGGUUCCAGAUGCCUUACCUUUACUUUAUAAAAAAUCACCCGCAACUGCUGUAGAUGAUGCCAGUGCAUCCCAACAUCAAAAGAAGAAACAGAAUGUUACCACCAGUAUUUUUGGUGGUAUCGUGAAAGGGUUGAAAGGGCUUAAAGGAGAGCAGGCUGCUGAUUCUGUGAAUGCUCGAGAUGCUCUUGUUUCUCAUCUGGAAAACAUAUUCUCGAGAUUUCCUUUCUCAGACCCUACAGAUGUAACAGAUGACCUUGGAAGCCUGGAACUGAAGUUAGAUGAUAUUGAAAUUGAUGAACCUGUUCAUG